GACGAACGCUGGCGGCGCGCUUAACACAUGCAAGUCGAGCGAGAACCGGGCCUUCGGGCCCGGGGGAAGCGGCGAACGGGUGAGUAACACGUGGGUAACCCACCCUUGGCACUGGGAUAGCCCGGGGAACCCGGGAUUAAUACCGGAUGGCCCAACAGCUCUUCGGGGCGGGUUGGAAAGGUAGCUUCGGCCUCCGGCCAAGGACGGGCCCGCGGCGGAUUAGCUUGUUGGUGGGGUAACGGCCCACCAAGGCGACGAUCCGUAGCUGGUCUGAGAGGACGAUCAGCCACACUGGGACUGAGACACGGCCCAGACUCCUACGGGAGGCAGCAGUGGGGAUCUUGCGCAAUGGCCGAAAGGCUGACGCAGCGACGCCGCGUGGGGGAUGACGCUUUUCGGAGUGUAAACCCCUGUUGCCCCGGGACGAACCUCGUCUUUCGUAGACGACUGACGGUACCGGGU
Molecule: ribosomal RNA, 462 nt
Filed under: uncultured bacterium
Lineage: Bacteria
Description: bacterial SSU rRNA
Rfam family: Bacterial small subunit ribosomal RNA
Source: RNAcentral